This 253-nucleotide ribosomal RNA is filed under the name uncultured bacterium. RNAcentral's name for it is "partial 16S ribosomal RNA". It matches the Rfam family "Bacterial small subunit ribosomal RNA", at positions 524 to 776 of the family's 1533-position model. The record is from RNAcentral.
UACGUAGGGUGCAAGCGUUGUCCGGAAUUAUUGGGCGUAAAGAGCUCGUAGGCGGUUUGUCGCGUCGAAUGUGAAAACCCGGGGCUCAACCCCGGGCCUGCAUUCGAUACGGGCAGACUAGAGUUCGGUAGGGGAGUCUGGAAUUCCUGGUGUAGCGGUGAAAUGCGCAGAUAUCAGGAGGAACACCGGUGGCGAAGGCGGGACUCUGGGCCGAUACUGACGCUGAGGAGCGAAAGCGUGGGGAGCAGACAGG